GACGAACGCUGGCGGCGUGCUUAACACAUGCAAGUCGAACGGAAAGGCCCUGCUUUUGUGGGGUGCUCGAGUGGCGAACGGGUGAGUAACACGUGAGUAACCUGCCCUUGACUUUGGGAUAACUUCAGGAAACUGGGGCUAAUACCGGAUAGGAGCUCCUGCUGCAUGGUGGGGGUUGGAAAGUUUCGGCGGUUGGGGAUGGACUCGCGGCUUAUCAGCUUGUUGGUGGGGUAGUGGCUUACCAAGGCUUUGACGGGUAGCCGGCCUGAGAGGGUGACCGGCCACAUUGGGACUGAGAUACGGCCCGGACUCCUACGGGAGGCAGCAGUGGGGAAUAUUGCACAGUGGGCGGAAGCCUGAUGCAGUAACGCCGCGUGCGUGAUGACGGCCUUCGGGUUGUAAACCGAUUUCGCCUGUGACGAAGCGUGUGUGACGGUAAUGGGUAAAGAAGCACCGGCUAACUACGUG
Molecule: ribosomal RNA, 468 nt
Filed under: uncultured bacterium
Lineage: Bacteria
Description: partial 16S ribosomal RNA
Rfam family: Bacterial small subunit ribosomal RNA
Source: RNAcentral